UACCGGUAAACUGCGAAUGGCUCGGUAAAUCAGUUAUAGUUUAUUUGAUAGUGCAACCUACUCGGAUAACCGUAGUAACACUAGAGCUAAUACGUGCGUAAAUCCCGACUUUUGGAAGGGACGUAUUUAUUAGAUUUAUGGCCAGCCGGGCUUGCCCGACCAGCGGUGAAUCAUGGUAACUUGACGGAUUGCAUGGCCUCCGUGCCGGCGACGUGUCAUUCAAGUUUCUGCCCCAUCAUGUGUCGACUGUAGUGUAUUGGACUACAGUGCCUAUAACGGGUAGCGGAGGAUUAGGGUUCGAUUCCGGAGAGGGAGCCUGAGAAACGGCUACCACAUCCAAGGAAGGCAGCAGGCGCGCAAAUUACCCAAUCCCAAUUCAGGGAGGUAGUGACAAGAAAUAGCAAUGCUGGGCUUCUUGCUCU
This 422-nucleotide ribosomal RNA is filed under the name Cladophora vagabunda. RNAcentral's name for it is "SSU rRNA". It matches the Rfam family "Eukaryotic small subunit ribosomal RNA", at positions 77 to 497 of the family's 1831-position model. Lineage: Eukaryota; Viridiplantae; Chlorophyta; Ulvophyceae; Cladophorales; Cladophoraceae. The record is from RNAcentral.